Molecule: unclassified non-coding RNA, 96 nt
Organism: Prolemur simus (greater bamboo lemur)
Lineage: Eukaryota; Metazoa; Chordata; Mammalia; Primates; Lemuridae
Rfam family: Y RNA
About the family: Y RNAs are components of the Ro ribonucleoprotein particle (Ro RNP), in association with Ro60 and La proteins. The Y RNAs and Ro60 and La proteins are well conserved, but the function of the Ro RNP is not known.
Source: Ensembl
GGCUGGUCCAACGAUAGUGGGUUAUCAGAACUUAUUAACAUUAGUGCCACUAAAGUUGGUAUACAGCUCCCCACUGCUAAAUUUGACUGGCUUAAA